UAGUAGUGGGUAUCAUCAGUGGUCCCAAUUAGCAGAGUCCACGCUCAGGUGAACAAUGGUCCCCCUCAUCAGACAUGAAAUAUGCUCUCAAUUAAUCACAGGGAUACGUAACCUGAUCUGGGGUAUUUUCUCAUCUUUUUCUUGACCGCCGGGUCUAGAUAAUCCAAAGGCCUUGAUGUACCAUUGCCCUGUUGGAUGUCUGCUGACUAAUGUACCAGUAAAUGAUAAAAUAAGUAAGAGGGGGUGGCACAAGUCAAGUGGAACUUAAUUACCUCUGACAAGAGUUUUUGAGGGGGAAAAAAGGAUACCAGAUCACACACAUGGGGAUUGUGUGACAACAAUGACCAGCGCUCUAGAAGUAAAGAAAUCCCCCUCCAGAAAAACAUGUUUGCGUGUGACCGAGGCAAGUAAAAGGCGGUCUCCAGGGCCUUCCAUACAGCAAGCGUCCCAUGUUCCUCCUGGGGGUCCGAGCGCUGUGUGCAUCUGGAAGAGAUAUUUGGCUGAGGUUCGGCCCAGAAGGUUUUCACAAUGUGCCUUCCCGUCUCUGAAACACAUCGGCUGAGUUGAGAUACAUGUCAGGAAGACAAAAUGCAGCAUUAUUGUUGGAGAGGAACAAACAAGGCACCGAGCAGAGGAGCAGCCAACAAGAAGCAGGUCCAACAACAUGCCUCUCAGCACGAGCGGGAAGUCUAAUUUUCACAUCUGCUCAAGUGAGAGGCUUAAAGCAACAAUCACUUAAGAUAACAAGACUGUAUAAAUUACAAUGGCAAUGAAUUUAACUAGCAAAGCUCUUAAACACCCAAUAUUGUGGCUGUUUGAAGGUUCCUGCUGAGUUGAGCAACUGCGGUGAGUAACUGGUGACUCAAAGAAGUGCUGAAGUUCAGCACAGAAAGCUUAAAAGCUAUAUUUCUACUGUCAUGUUUCGAAUCCUGGCAAUGAGUAAUGAUGGGACAUCCUUUAAGAUCUUUGUCUUCAGCUAUGACCAUUUAAUAUAUUUUAA
Long non-coding RNA from Cyprinus carpio (common carp), 1000 nucleotides. RefSeq lists it as uncharacterized. The record is from RefSeq and is a predicted model, not a curated record. The transcript has 3 exons. NCBI's taxonomy places the organism in Eukaryota, Metazoa, Chordata, Actinopteri, Cypriniformes, Cyprinidae.